RNAcentral lists this ribosomal RNA (253 nucleotides) under uncultured bacterium. RNAcentral describes it as "partial 16S ribosomal RNA". It matches the Rfam family "Bacterial small subunit ribosomal RNA", at positions 524 to 776 of the family's 1533-position model. The record is from RNAcentral.
UACGUAGGGUGCAAGCGUUAAUCGGAAUUACUGGGCGUAAAGCGUGCGCAGGCGGUUUUGUAAGUUUGUCGUGAAAGCCCCGGGCUCAACCUGGGAAUGGCGAUGAAGACUGCAAGGCUUGAAUCUGGCAGAGGGGGGUAGAAUUCCACGUGUAGCAGUGAAAUGCGUAGAGAUGUGGAGGAACACCGAUGGUGAAGGCAGCCCCCUGGGUCAAGAUUGACGCUCAUGCACGAAAGCGUGGGGAGCAAACAGG